GGAUGCCAAAAAUAUUAUUGUGCUAUAAAAAACAGUAAGUAUAAGGGAUUCAGAUAAUCAAGCAAAUACAAAUAAACUGAUUCAGAGCAAAGGAGAUAGAAUUAGGACAAUAUUUAUAAUAAGAUAGAUAGUCAGUUUGUUUAAUAUGGAGCUCACUGCUUCCCCUACCAAAUGACCAAGGGUAACAAUCUUUGAUUGUCAGCCUCUGCUAUCAUAACUGGAAAGAUUUUCUGUUUUAUUUCUAGCUGCUCUUUUUGCCACUCUCUUUCUGAUGUACUUUUUUUUUUUAGUGUUAAUGAUGCCAUAAUCUGAACUGGUGAAAGAAGAGGAUUUUCCUUUCCCUGCUCUCCUUUUUUCUUAACCCCAAUUACAAGAAAUAGUCGUGGAGUAUAUGAAUUAAUUCCAUGUUGUUUAUCCUUCUCAGGUUCAGGAGCAGAAGUUAUCUUUACAUGAGCUUGGGAAUUUCUGCAGCUGGAAUUAUAGUGCUCCAUGGAGAGGGAAAAUUGCUGGACCUUGAAACAGUUCUAGAUUGCAAAGAAGACACUGCAGUAAAUCCAGUUUUGAAGUACAGCUGAACCAUAUAUUAUUAGCCAAUCUGUAUCCAAUUCCUCUAAGAGUUGACAUUAUGAAGUGAGUUUGCCACAAUUUUCUUUGCAUCAUAAACAGCAAUGUUACUACAAAGUGCUCACUGACCCUUGGCUUUUUCUUAGUUUCUGAUAUGUAGGUUAUCUAGUGACGACUGGUAGAUCACUUCAAUUACUUAGGUUUGAAGCUUUGGGCACUGGGGUUAGAUACACAUUAGGAAUAUAAUAUAGAUCUUUUAGAUAAUCACCAAAAAAUUUCCCUGAUGCAGUCUUGGCUUCAAGUGCUCUGUGGCAGAAAAGACCCAAAGCAUUUACAGGGGAUUUGACUUUUUCAAUUCGUACAUUCCCCGCCCCCCCAAAAAACACAGGAAAUUUUCUUCAUGGUACUAACUUGAAUAUCAAAAAUGACACUUUGCUUUAAAAAACUGUGUGCUUAUCACAGUGUCACAAAGGAAUUGUGUUUAUUUGGGGUAUUUUGUUGAUUUUUUUUUAUUGAAAGAAAGAGGGAAACAAAAAGAAACCAAUUCAAACAAUAACUAAUAUAAAUCACUAAUCAUUUCAAAAUUUAAACCAACAUAGGGAAGUAGAGAGGGAUGUUAUUGUAACUGAGGGCUUUGUAGAAUUUUGUCCUCUUUCAAGGACUCCAGUCCUGUCUCUUUUUAUAUUUGGCUCUGUCUAAUUAAAAAAAAAAACCCUCUCUCUUCUAUUUUUGGUCCUCGGACAACCUUUUGUUUAGAAGUCAUGUCCCUGGAAAAAUAUUUUAAAAGAAAGAAAAAAAUUAUUAAUACCAAAUAUAAAAAAGAAUUCACAACAAAUGAAAAAAAUAAUUAAAUGAAAUUUUCCCUUCUUCCUGAUUAAAAAAACAACUUAAAUGAAAUAAACUAAUACAAAAAUAUAAAACA
This 1486-nucleotide long non-coding RNA is filed under the name Monodelphis domestica (gray short-tailed opossum). RNAcentral's name for it is "lncRNA (ENSMODG00000030584.2)". Lineage: Eukaryota; Metazoa; Chordata; Mammalia; Didelphimorphia; Didelphidae. The record is from RNAcentral.